Non-coding RNA from Odocoileus virginianus texanus, 1651 nucleotides. The record is from RefSeq and is a predicted model, not a curated record. Lineage: Eukaryota; Metazoa; Chordata; Mammalia; Artiodactyla; Cervidae.
UAUCUUUUUACCAGUUAGAUGAGUGAUUAGUUUUAUCCAAGGCUGGAGCUACUGAACUAACUGGAGAGAAUGGUCUAAGACAGGAGUUGGUAAACUUUUUCUGUAUUAUUCCAGAGUGUAAGUAUUUCAGAAUUUGAAGCCUUGAAGUGUCUAAUGCUUUUUGUAUACUUUUGUACACUUCUGCUAUUACAGCUUGGAAGCAGUCAAGGACAUAUUAAACAAACAAAAAGGGCUAUAUACAAGUCUUUAUGGAGGCAGAAAUUUAUAUUGCAUAGAAUUCCCAUGUGUCAGAAAAUAUUAUUCUUCCUUGAUUACUUUCUAUUUAAAAUGCUUAGUCAUUGUUUGUACAAAGGUUAUAUUUAUACAUGGGUUGAUAUUUGUUAGUAUGUAAGACUGUCUGAAAGAAUGUUUUGCAAUGCUGUGAGAUUGAUUUGUGGGAUUUUUUUUUUCUUUUUAGUUUGUAUAAAGAACAUUUUCCAGCACAGGGUCUGAAAGAUUUACCCUUAUCUAUUUCUAAAACUUCAAAAUUUAGUGCUUACAUUUAGAUGAUGAUCCAUGCAGGUAAUUUUUACUUAUGAUGCUGAGUAAUGUUUAUGCUUCCUUAAUUUCUGUAUGAAAUAUGCAAUUAUUUGAGCAACAUUUGAUGAAAAUACUGGAUUUUGUAUCUUUUUUGGCAUCUUAAAGGAAAAUUUUAUGUAUUUCUUACAUAAAUAUAUACAAGAGAAUAAUAAAGGGUUGUAGACAUUUUAUAUGAUAACCUUAGGGGAUAGGAGAUUCCCCCAAGUUUGCAUUAAUUAUUUUUUAAACAUAAAACAUUAAAAACAUGUUCGUAUGUAUGUUAUAUAUGAAUUUUUAUAUUUACCUGCUUUUGCAGUGUUGAGAAAUAAUCAAUAAAUGAUCUGUAAGAGGAAUAGAAAAGAGCUUUAUUUGAGCCAAACUGAGGACUAUAGCCCAGAAGACAACCUCUCAGAUCACUGAGGAACUGCUCUGGAGAGGGCACAGAUACAUUAACAUCACUGACUUCUGUGUUGCCUGAUGACAAAGAAUUCCCCAGCCCGGAGGUAUUUGACCCUGACCACUUCCUGGAUGAGAAUGGCAACUUUAGGAAGAGCAACAAUUUCAUGGCUUUCUCAGCAGGAAAAUGGAUUUGUGUGGGAGAGGGCCUGGCCUGCAUGGAGCUGUUUUUAUUCCUGACCACAAUUUUGCAAAAAUGUACCUUGAAAUCUGUGUUUGACCCAAAGGACAUUGACACCACCCCAGCUAUUACUGGGAUAGCUACUAUGCCACCUUCUUACCAGCUUUGCUUCAUUCCUGUGUGAAGAAUGCUAGAUCAUCCAGCUUCCUCAGUGAUGUUGUCUUCAACUCCCUCUCCUCGGGGGCAUCAUUCACCAGUGUCCUGUUAAUAUUUCCUGAGAAUACAUUUUCUGACCUCUUCUCAUUCCCUGCACAGUUUCACCACGGAAACAUAUCUGCUGUUCUUCAUAUCUUGUAACAUUUGUAUUGGUCAUCACAUAUCCUAAUAUGUCUCUAAUAUUAAGUAGUACUAUGUACAUAGCAUCAUGUACUCAGUGCAAAGUACGGCAAGAUGAUUAGUGUGUGCCAAUGAGACCUAUUUCUCCAGUGUAUGUUUCUAAUAAAAAGCAGAAUUUGA